Molecule: non-coding RNA, 78 nt
Filed under: Gemmatimonadota bacterium
Lineage: Bacteria; Pseudomonadati; Gemmatimonadota
Description: Gemmatimonadetes bacterium c-di-GMP sequence
Rfam family: c-di-GMP-I riboswitch aptamer
About the family: GEMM was predicted in a large-scale screen for bacterial structured RNA regulatory elements. Genes associated with GEMM are involved in a diverse array of functions, including chemotaxis regulation, signal transduction, secretion and chitin.
Source: RNAcentral
GCAAAGCCGUCGAAAGACGGUGACGCAGAGCUACGGGACUACGGCGACGCGAGUCGCUAAGUCCGCCGGGCCGCCAGC